CCAAUAGCUGGAAAGGGGGUACCAUGGGGGAAGAAGGGGGCCGCCGGUCUGGGAAGGCUCCCUGGAGGCGGCAGCCUCUUCCUUGGGCUGGGUGCUGCUCCCACUUGGCGAGACUGGCCCCCGAGGGGCCUCGAAGCUCAGCGGGCCCCAUCCCAUCGGUCUACCCCGCCGCAGGGGCGCCAGAAGGGGCCCCGGGGCCCGGCCCCCGGAGCCUUCGGCCGCUUCGCGCUCCAGCUGCUCGAGCAGAGCCUGCGGGACGAGGAGCUGCGCGCGCAGCACCGGGCCGCGCUGCUGCGCCUGCGCGAGAAGGCUCUGGAGGAGAAGGCGCGCGCGGAGCUGGCCUGGCUGGAGCAGCGGCGGCGAGGGUGUCUGAGUGGCAACGGCAGCUACACAGCGCUGCUGGCCUUGGCAGGAAGGCAGCACCAGGCCCUGAGCAACCUCGAGCAGGAGCAGGUAAGGACCGGCUCCCCUGGGCCGACCCCGGGGGGUCCUGCUGCCCUUCCGGGGCUGGGGACCUGAGCGUCCCGCUCCACAGCUGGACGGUUCUUGGGUGUUCAGCCCCCGCCAGGGCCGCUCAGGCAGCGUCCCGCGCUGGAGGGGCAGCGUGGCCUGGGCGGAGUGCGGCCCUGUCCCCGCGACUCCCGUGGCCUCUGCACAGUGGCUGGGUCCCUGGGAGCCUCGUUCUGCAGCGGUGUGUGUCUUGUGGGGCUGCAGGAGGGCUUAGCACAGCCAGCACUCAGCAAGCUGCAUGGACACGGCCGCAGCGGGGCUCCCAGCUGCUUGGAGCCCAGCUCCCUCGUCUGGAAAAUGGGGUGGGGCCAUUUCGCUGGGGCCCUUUCAUUUUGGUCGCCCGACUGCGGGGGGUCGUGCUGUGGCGAUGCUCUUUAUACAGAUGAAGGGACUGGGGGCAGAGGCGGGGGCUCGCCCAGCUGGCAGGUGAGGGUGGUGGUGGGCUUGGGGUUCGAAGCGAGCCGAGGCUCCUGACCUCCAUCCUGGGGAGCCUGUGUGGACCAGGGGUGGGUGGCGGGCGUGGGGCACUCCAAGCAGAGGGGCAGCAGGAGGAGGCCCAGACACGGUCUGCAGGGCACAUGCCAGCCACAGAGCCAGGAGGAGGGCUCCCAAGGCCCCAGUUACCAAAUGGCCCGAAGUGGUGAACCUGGGACCCCGUGUUGGGCGUGGAGACAUGGGUGGAGUUGGGGUCUGGCCUGUGACUACGGGGGAGGGACCCAGCCCUGUGAGCCUCAGUCCCCCCCUGAGCUGUACAGGCAGCCACUCCCCCGGGGUGCACUCCUGACCUGGUGGCUCUGCCGAGGGCGUGCCAUCAGAGACGCAGUAGGGAACAGAGGACAGUUGGGGACAGUUUCACAAACGGACAGAGCCCAGAACCCGGAGAGAAGGAGGACGUGUGUGGAUGGCAGGGGUGUAGCCAGCCUGGGCCAGCCUCGCCUGGGGGCGCCUGGGAAACUGGCACCCCACCUUCCCUCCUGCUGGAGCCUCCUGUCAGCCAAAGCCAAGGGCGUUAAAGUGCGUGGGGGCCUCCUGGCAGAGAGGUUGAGCAGGGCAGGGCAUCUGGGGGGCCGAGGGAGGGUCCCUGCUCGGCCCCCGAGCCGGCUCCUCCUAAACACCCCCCAUUCAUCGUGUGCCGGGCUGGGGCCUCCCUGAGGUCCUCUCCUCUGGCCGGUUCAGAGGGAGAUCCGACGCCUGCGGAAGCAGCACCUGCUCGCGCACCAGGAGAGGAAGCUGCUCCUGCAGCAUCAGAAGGACGCCCUGUCCAUGCAGAGGUCCACCGCCCUCUCGCAGCAGGAGCCUCGGGCCCAGACCGGGCUGCUCCAGGUGGGCGCUCUCUCCUGGCCUGGGGGCUCACCGUCACCGGGCGGCUUUGUGGGAACGUGCAAG
RNAcentral lists this long non-coding RNA (1896 nucleotides) under Sus scrofa (pig). RNAcentral describes it as "lncRNA (ENSSSCG00035019257.1)". Lineage: Eukaryota; Metazoa; Chordata; Mammalia; Artiodactyla; Suidae. The record is from RNAcentral.